RNAcentral lists this ribosomal RNA (1100 nucleotides) under Rhizobium sp. RNAcentral's name for it is "bacterial SSU rRNA". It matches the Rfam family "Bacterial small subunit ribosomal RNA", at positions 66 to 1193 of the family's 1533-position model. Lineage: Bacteria; Pseudomonadati; Pseudomonadota; Alphaproteobacteria; Hyphomicrobiales; Rhizobiaceae. The record is from RNAcentral.
AUAUCGCAGGAAGACUACAUACUACCCCGCAAGGGGAGUGGCAGACGGGUGAGUAACGCGUGGGAACAUACCCUUUCCUGCGGAAUAGCUCCGGGAAACUGGAAUUAAUACCGCAUACGCCCUACGGGGGAAAGAUUUAUCGGGGAAGGAUUGGCCCGCGUUGGAUUAGCUAGUUGGUGGGGUAAAGGCCUACCAAGGCGACGAUCCAUAGCUGGUCUGAGAGGAUGAUCAGCCACAUUGGGACUGAGACACGGCCCAAACUCCUACGGGAGGCAGCAGUGGGGAAUAUUGGACAAUGGGCGCAAGCCUGAUCCAGCCAUGCCGCGUGAGUGAUGAAGGCCUUAGGGUUGUAAAGCUCUUUCACCGGAGAAGAUAAUGACGGUAUCCGGAGAAGAAGCCCCGGCUAACUUCGUGCCAGCAGCCGCGGUAAUACGAAGGGGGCUAGCGUUGUUCGGAAUUACUGGGCGUAAAGCGCACGUAGGCGGAUAUUUAAGUCAGGGGUGAAAUCCCAGAGCUCAACUCUGGAACUGCCUUUGAUACUGGGUAUCUUGAGUAUGGAAGAGGUAAGUGGAAUUCCCAGUGUACAGGUGAAAUUCGGAGAUAUUCGGAGGAACACCAGUGGCGAAGGCAGCUUACUGGUGCAUUACUGACGCUGAUGUGCGAAUGCGUGGGGAGCUAACAGGAUUACAUACCCUGGUAGCUCACGCCGUAUACGAUGAAUGUUAGCCGUCAGGGAGCAUACUGCUCCGUGGCGCACCUGAGGUACUACACAUACCGACUGGGGAGUACUCUCGCAAGAGUAAUACUCAUACGACUUGACGAGGGGCCCACACACGCGGUGGAGCAUGUGUUUUGAGUCGAAGUCUCGCGCAUAACCCCUAGCAGCUCAUGACAUUCUACGGUGUGCGUAGUGCACACAUUGUCCUUCCAAUACGCUGGCCCCUCAACAUGUGCUGCAUGGCUUGUCGUCAGCUAGUGUCGGGAGAUGCUGGGUUACUCCCGCUACCAUCUCAGCCGUCGCACUUUAUAACCCCAUUGACUGGUCACUCUACGGGACUGCCGGAGAUAAGCCGAGACGAUGGGGGGGAUGACCUCACCGU